RNAcentral lists this ribosomal RNA (253 nucleotides) under uncultured bacterium. Its description in RNAcentral is "partial 16S ribosomal RNA". It matches the Rfam family "Bacterial small subunit ribosomal RNA", at positions 524 to 776 of the family's 1533-position model. The record is from RNAcentral.
UACAGAGGGGGCAAGCGUUGUUCGGAAUUACUGGGCGUAAAGGGCGCGUAGGCGGCCUGCUAAGUCGAACGUGAAAUCCCCGGGCUCAACCCGGGAACUGCGUCCGAUACUGGCGGGCUUGAAUCCGGGAGAGGGAUGUGGAAUUCCAGGUGUAGCGGUGAAAUGCGUAGAUAUCUGGAGGAACACCGGUGGCGAAGGCGGCAUCCUGGACCGGUAUUGACGCUGAGGCGCGAAAGCUAGGGGAGCAAACGGG